GAUGAACGCUGGCGGCGUGCUUAACACAUGCAAGUCGAACGGAGUUGAUUUAAGGAAGCAAGCUUGCUUGAAGAAUUGAAUUAACUUAGUGGCGGACGGGCGAGUAACACGUGAGCAACCUACCUCUUACAGGGGAAUAACAACGGGAAACCGUUGCUAAUACCGCAUGAUAUGUGCUGAAGGCAUCUUUGGCACAUCAAAAGAGCAAUCUGGUGGGAGAUGGGCUCGCGUCUGAUUAGCUAGUUGGUAAGGUAACGGCCUACCAAGGCGACGAUCAGUAGCCGGACUGAGAGGUCGAACGGCCGCAUUGGGACUGAGACACGGCCCAGACUCCUACGGAAGGCAGCAGUGGGGAAUAUUGGGCAAUGGGCGAAAGCCUGACCCAGCAACGCCGCGUGAAUGAUGAAGGCCUUCGGGUUGUAAAAUUCUUUGGACAGGGACGAAGAAAGUGAC
Molecule: ribosomal RNA, 453 nt
Filed under: Firmicutes bacterium oral taxon G23
Lineage: Bacteria; Bacillati; Bacillota
Description: bacterial SSU rRNA
Rfam family: Bacterial small subunit ribosomal RNA
Source: RNAcentral